Molecule: ribosomal RNA, 777 nt
Filed under: uncultured Rubrobacter sp.
Lineage: Bacteria; Bacillati; Actinomycetota; Rubrobacteria; Rubrobacterales; Rubrobacteraceae
Description: bacterial SSU rRNA
Rfam family: Bacterial small subunit ribosomal RNA
Source: RNAcentral
AGAGUUUGAUCAUGGCUCAGGACGAACGCUGACGGUGUGCUUUAGACAUGCAAGUCGAACGAGAAAGCCCUUCGGGGUGAGUACAGUGGCGAACGGGUGAGUAACACGUGGGCAAUCUGCCCCUCGCAGGGGGACAACCGGGGGAAACCCCGGCUAAUACCCCGUACGCUUGCGGAGUCGCAUGGCUCCGUAAGGAAAGGUAGCUUCGGCCAUCCGGCGAGGGAUGAGCCCGCGGUACAUUAGCUAGUUGGUGGGGUAACGGCCCACCAAGGCGACGAUGCGUAGCUGGUCUGAGAGGAUGAUCAGCCACACUGGGACUGAGACACGGCCCAGACUCCUACGGGAGGCAGCAGUGGGGAAUUUUGGGCAAUGGGCGCAAGCCUGACCCAGCAAUUCCGCGUGGGUGAAGAAGGUCUUCGGAUUGUAAAGCCCUUUCGGCGGGGACGAUGGUGACGGUACCCGCAGAAGAAGCCCCGGCUAACUUCGUGCCAGCAGCCGCGGUAAUACGAAGGGGGCUAGCGUUGCUCGGAAUUAUUGGGCGUAAAGAGCUCGUAGGCGGUCUGUCGCGUCGGCUGUGAAAUCCCGAGGCUCAACCUCGGGUCUGCAGUCGAUACGGGCAAACUAGAGUGUUGCAGGGGAGACUGGAAUUCCUGGUGUAGCGGUGAAAUGCGCAGAUAUCAGGAGGAACACCGGUGGCGAAGGCGGGUCUCUGGGCAACAACUGACGCUGAGGAGCGAAAGCGUGGGGAGCGAACAGGAUUAGAUACCCCGGUAGUCC